GAUAAAACAACUCGAUUUAAAAUGUGAGCAGUUCUAGUGGAUCUGACGUCGAGGGAAAAAGUAUUUCGCUUUUUGUUUGGAGAUGAACGAGACAACACGAGGCACAGCGACAUAAAUAUGACCAACCAGAUCCCAAGUAGACAGGAACAAAUGAAGAUACAGCACAUAGAAAGACUUAUUCUUGGUGAUCAACUGCUAUUGACAUUUUUGAAUCGGGACAAUUGUGGAGUGAUUCGGAAGAAAAACGUUUGCAACACAUCCAUUCCAGGUGGCUAAUUUCUGUCCUUUUGAAUUAUUCUUGUAAAAACCGUUUGUUUUUAUUGUAAAGCUGUAAGGGACUUGGCCUAGUCAUCCUUGCAUAUACCAUUUGGCAGGGCA
Molecule: non-coding RNA, 378 nt
Organism: Paramisgurnus dabryanus
Lineage: Eukaryota; Metazoa; Chordata; Actinopteri; Cypriniformes; Cobitidae
Source: RefSeq, a predicted model, not a curated record